RNAcentral lists this ribosomal RNA (497 nucleotides) under uncultured bacterium. Its description in RNAcentral is "partial 16S ribosomal RNA". It matches the Rfam family "Bacterial small subunit ribosomal RNA", at positions 28 to 507 of the family's 1533-position model. The record is from RNAcentral.
GAUGAACGCUGGCGGCGUGCCUAAUACAUGCAAGUCGAGCGAACAGACGAGGAGCUUGCUCCUCUGACGUUAGCGGCGGACGGGUGAGUAACACGUGGAUAACCUACCUAUAAGACUGGGAUAACUUCGGGAAACCGGAGCUAAUCCCGGAUAAUAUAUUGAACCGCAUGGUUCAAUAGUGAAAGACGGUUUUGCUGUCACUUAUAGAUGGAUCCGCGCCGCAUUAGCUAGUUGGUAAGGUAACGGCUUACCAAGGCAACGAUGCGUAGCCGACCUGCGAGGGUGAUCGGCCACACUGGAACUGAGACACGGUCCAGACUCCUACGGGAGGCAGCAGUAGGGAAUCUUCCGCAAUGGGCGAAAGCUUGACGGAGCAACGCCGCGUGAGUGAUGAAGGUCUUCGGAUCGUAAAACUCUGUUAUUAGGGAAGAACAAAUGUGUAAGUAACUAUGCACGUCUUGACGGUACCUAAUCAGAAAGCCACGGCUAACUACGUG